Molecule: unclassified non-coding RNA, 298 nt
Filed under: uncultured fungus
Lineage: Eukaryota; Fungi
Also listed under: 1 other name
Description: partial contains 5.8S ribosomal RNA, internal transcribed spacer 2, and large subunit ribosomal RNA
Rfam family: 5.8S ribosomal RNA (bases 1-52)
Source: RNAcentral
AACGCACCUUGCGCUCCUUGGUAUUCCGAGGAGCAUGCCUGUUUGAGUGUCAUUAAUUUCUCAACCUCACCAACUUUUUUGUUGUGUGAAGGCUUGGAUGUGGGGGUUUGCAGGUCCGCUCUCGAGCGGUCUGCUCCUCUGAAAUGUAUUAGUGGGUUUAGUCCCCUAAUCUAUUGGUGUGAUAAUUAUCUACGCCGUGGAUUGGGAAGGCUGUUAAUGAACUCGCUUCUAACCGUCCUCACGGACAACAUUUGACAAUUUUGACCUCAAAUCAGGUAAGACUACCCGCUGAACUUAA